This 17-nucleotide ribosomal RNA is filed under the name Diaporthe henanensis. RNAcentral describes it as "partial 28S ribosomal RNA". Lineage: Eukaryota; Fungi; Ascomycota; Sordariomycetes; Diaporthales; Diaporthaceae. The record is from RNAcentral.
AAAUUGACCUCGGAUCA